Molecule: non-coding RNA, 2991 nt
Organism: Heterocephalus glaber (naked mole-rat)
Lineage: Eukaryota; Metazoa; Chordata; Mammalia; Rodentia; Bathyergidae
Source: RefSeq, a predicted model, not a curated record
CGGUUACCUGUGGUCCAGGUAGAUCCUCGAGGGCAGGUGAACGGUAUUUAUCCCACUCCAGGCCCGCCCCUGGCGGCUGCAGACGCCCCUCGCCAGGGGAGCGGCGGAUCCGCAGAGCGCACCCACGUGGCAGGGCCGGGCGCGAGCGGGACCCAGGAGAUCGCGUUCCCGCGCAGCUGUGGGCGAUCAGAGCUGGGGGCCGCAGGCCGACGCCUUAGAAAACCUUCUCUCGCGUGUCCAGUCUUCGGCCUGAGUAGCUAGAUUCCGAGAAAUCGGAUAGGGUUUGGGGUCAGCGAAACUCAGAACGUGGUGGAACCGGGAUGGCGGCAUUGAUAAGGAAGCCAGGGUACAAGGAUAGGAGGAAACAUUCCCAUUUACAUAAAGGAAACUGAUAAUAUCCAGAGAGGUCCAUCCUUAAAAGCCUCAGAGAAACCAACUUGUAUUAGCCUAGUCUCAACAAGCUUCGGUAUAAAAGCACAGUGGAAUUCACUGCUGUGGGCUGGCACAACGCAGUGGACUGGGACAAACAGGAGGCAGUGGUCCUAACUUUUUUGUGCCACAGAUCAUUUUGGCAGCCUAAUAAAGCCAUAGACCCUUCUCCAAAUAAUAUAUAUGUGAAAUGAAAUCCAUCAUAUUUUAAAGUAAAACAUUUGAAAAUAUUAACAGAAAAACAAAAAUUUUAUAAGUAUACUUUCUUUUAAAAGGUAUAGAAAUGUGUAAUAGAAAACCAGGCAAUAGUUUUAUCUUAUUUGUUGAACCCCCUCCCCCAUGGGUACCAAACUCUGGAAAAUUGAAUAAUCCAAGUUGAUCAGAAUGAUUUAUUUCCCAAACGUCCUGGGUAAUUUAGGUUUUAUUGUAUCACAUUCAUUUAUUAUAUGCCUUUGUAAAUAAGAUGUGUGGAAGAAUUAAGAAAUGAAAAUAAUCAAGGAUGAAAGAAAUUUAAAUAUGCAAUAUUUAAAUUUUUAGAUAGGUUUUGAUAACAGCUCAAGUACUUACUGUGUGCUAAGGCUUUUAAACUCAUUAUCCCAUUGAAUCCCUAUUAUACAGAUGAAAAACUUCAGGUUAUAUAAGUAGUAAGUUGUAGAACCAGGAUUUGAAGUAGGCAGACAGUCCUCAAAGACAGACUUUUUUUUUUAAAGGAGAUUCUUGCUAAGUUGCCUAGGUGGGACUUUAACUUUUUGUCCUCUUGACUCAGCCUCCCUAAGUCCUAGGAUAACAGGUGUGGGCCACCAAGCCUGACCUCAAGGUCAGCACUCCUAACCACUAAGCUGUUUAUUUUUAGUCCUUUGACUGUUAGCCAAUAUUAAUUUUCCUGCUAGUGUAACAUAUACAUUUGCUAUCAAAAUAUUUUAUGUAUUCUGUGUAGAGCUGUACUCAGUGACUGAAAGGGAUUUUCCAAAGUCUUGCAGUGAUACUAAUUAUAUCCAGUAUUAUCUUUAAAUGGGCUACUAGUUGGGGCUGGAAAAUAGUUUUGUUUUACAGAAAUUUUUGUUGUAAUGGAGUUUGCAGAAAAGAUAAAAUCCACCCAUGUCUACUCCAGCCCUGCAAACAUACUUUCACGUUUGAAAUCUGAGCUUUUGUUUUGUAAGUGUCACUGUAUUUUUUAUAUUGACCAUUAUCAAGAUCAUAUACAAAGCAGGCAUGAUGCUGUGUACUUGUACUGCCAGCUUCUUGGGAGGCUGGGGCUAUGGAAGAUUUCUUGAGCCCAGGAGUUCAAGGCCAGCCUGGGCAACAUACUGAGACUUGGUCUCUUGAAAUUAAGAUAGCAUAAAAAAUUCAUUUAUAAAAUAAAGCCUACUAUAUGAAAUUCUAGAUUAUCCAUGUUUAGUGAGGCAAGUAAUGGUGUAAUCCCAAAUUCAGGUUUGUUUGGCACUCUAGAAGUGAAUUUUAUUGCUCAAGCAGACUUUCUGUUUAUUUGCUUGGUUGUAUUUGCGACAGUGGACUUAAACGUCUCGUAUUUUGCUGAGGUUACAAUCAAAAGGAACAUAGCCCAUAAGCAUUUUGAGGCCUUAUGAUAAAGCAGGCUAGGAUUAGCUGAAAUUUUUAAACAUUUUACAUAUUUGCAUUAGAGUGAGCCCACUUUACAGUUGCAGUUAAAGUUUUCAUUUUCAUUAUUUGAUUUAAUUUGGUUUACAAUGAUAAUGUCUGUCUACAGAAAGGAAAGUAGAUAUGUUUUUUUGUUUGUUUGUUUUUUGGUACUGGGGAUCAACUCGGAUCCUUGUGCUUAUGAGGCAGGAGGCAAAACCACUGAGCUAAAUCCCCGGCCCCUUGAUAUGUUUUUUUAUCAUGGAGGCCAGUCUGGGAGGGGUCCCUCCUGUGUAGGGACCUUCUGUGAUACAGCACACCCCCUAUUAAAGACUCACUUUGGUAUUCCUGUUAAAAAAUAGAAGAGCUGGAGCUGGGGAUAUAGCUCAGCACUCCCUCAAUUCAGUACCCAAUAACACAUGCAUUCACUCUCUAUGUAUAUAUCGUAUUUUCUUGCAUGAAUGUGUGUAAAGCCUGAUAAAAGACUAAGCUGGGUGUGAUGCACACACGUGUAAUCCCAGCAACUCUGGAGGCUAGGGCAGGAAAAUCACAAGUUCAAGGCCAGCUGGGGCAAUUUAGAGACCCCGUCUUUAAAAAAGGGCUGGGUAUGUAUCUCACCCUUCCAAGGUUCGAUCCCCAAUACUGAAAGAAAAAAAAAAUCAUGAAAAUUACUAUGAAAUUGGCAAAUAACUAAUCCACAAAGUAAGUGUCCCAGGGCCCUAAUAUUAUAAUAAUUUGAAUUUAGGGGUUCACUAAAGUAUAUUUGCAAGUAAAUAGAAUUAAUAUAAUUUUGAACUGUAAGUGCAAAUUAUUAAUAUAUCUAUUAAUUGUUAAUGUAUCUACAUUUUCAUGUCUCUUUGUAAAUUUGUAUUAGAAUUUUAUAACUUGCCUGGACCAUUAGGUCUAAUAUAAUGUAUACUAUCUUAUUAGUUUAAUUAAAUUGUAAAUGCUGUGUUCAAGAUUUUA